Vulpes vulpes (red fox) is the source of this 122-nucleotide ribosomal RNA. The record is from Ensembl. NCBI's taxonomy places the organism in Eukaryota, Metazoa, Chordata, Mammalia, Carnivora, Canidae.
GUCUACAGCCAUACUACCCUGAAUGUGCCUGAUCUCCUCUGAUCUCGGAAGCUAAGCAGGGUUGUGCCUGGUUAGUACUUGGAUGGAAGAACAUUUGUGAUUGACAACAAGAGAUCAAAAUA